RNAcentral lists this non-coding RNA (30 nucleotides) under Mus musculus (house mouse). Lineage: Eukaryota; Metazoa; Chordata; Mammalia; Rodentia; Muridae. The record is from RNAcentral.
CCCCCCCCCCAUCUUUGAUGCUUUGAAGGA